ACGCUGGCGGCACGCCUAACACAUGCAAGUCGAACGAAGUAGCAAUACUUAGUGGCAGACGGGUGAGUAACAUGUAGGUAUCUGCCCUUUGGCCUGGAAUAACACGAGGAAACUUGUGCUAAUACCGGAUAAGUCUUUACGGAGAAAGCUUUAUGCACCAUUGGAUGAGCCUGCACUUGAUUAGUUUGUUGGUGGGGUAAUGGCCUACCAAGACUGUGAUCAAUAGCUGAUUUGAGAGGAUGAUCAGCCACAUUGGGACUGAGACACGGCCCAAACUCCUACGGGAGGCAGCAGUGGGGAAUCUUGCACAAUGGAGGAAACUCUGAUGCAGCGAUGCCGCGUGAGUGAAGAAGGCCUUUGGGUUGUAAAGCUCUUUCGUCGGGGAAGAAAAUGACUGUACCCGAAUAAGAAGGUCCGGCUAACUUCGUGCCAGCAGCCGCGGUAAUACGAAGGGACCUAGCGUAGUUCGGAAUUACUGGGCUUAAAGAGUUCGUAGGUGGUUGAAAAAGUUGGUGGUGAAAUCCCAGAGCUUAACUCUGGAACUGCCAUCAAAACUUUUCAGCUAGAGUAUGAUAGAGGAAAGCAGAAUUUCUAGUGUAGAGGUGAAAUUCGUAGAUAUUAGAAAGAAUACCAAUUGCGAAGGCAGCUUUCUGGAUCAUUACUGACACUGAGGAACGAAAGCAUGGGUAGCGAAGAGGAUUAGAUACCCUCGUAGUCCAUGCCGUAAACGAUGUGUGUUAGACGUUGGAAAUUUAUUUUCAGUGUCGCAGCGAAAGCGAUAAACACACCGCCUGGGGAGUACGACCGCAAGGUUAAAACUCAAAUGAAUUGACGGGGACCCGCACAAGUAGUGGAGCAUGUGGUUUAAUUCGAAGAUACGCGCAGAACCUUACCAACACUUGACAUGUUCGUCGCGACUUUAAGAGAUUAAAGUUUUCGGUUCGGCCGGACGAAACACAGGUGCUGCAUGGCCGUCGUCAGCUCGUGUCGUGAGAUGUUGGGUUAAGUCCCGCAACGAGCGCAACCCUCACUUUUAGUUGCCAUCAUUAAGUUGGGCACUCUGAAAGAACUGCCAGUGAUAAGCUGGAGGAAGGUGGGGAUGACGUCAAGUCCUCAUGGCCCUUACGUGUUGGGCUACACACGUGCUACAAUGGUAUCUACAACAGGAAGCAAAACCGCGAGGUUUAGCAAAUCCUUAAAAGAUACCUCAGUUCGGAUUGCACUCUGCAACUCGAGUGCAUGGAGCUGGAAUUACUAGUAAUCGUGGAUCAGCGUGCCACGGUGAAUGCGUUCCCGGGUCUUGUACACACCGCCCGUCACACCAUGGGAGUUGGUUCUACCUUAAGGCAAGGUUUUAAACCCUUGACCACGGUAUAGUCAGCGACUGGGGU
Molecule: ribosomal RNA, 1391 nt
Filed under: uncultured bacterium
Lineage: Bacteria
Description: 16S ribosomal RNA
Rfam family: Bacterial small subunit ribosomal RNA
Source: RNAcentral